AGGGCACCACCAGGAGUGGAGCCUGCGGCUUAAUUUGACUCAACACGGGGAAACUCACCAGGUCCAGACAUGACUAGGAUUGACAGAUUGAUAGCUCUUUCAUGAUCUCAUGGGUGGUGGUGCAUGGCCGUUCUUAGUUGGUGGAGUGAUUUGUCUGGUUAAUUCCGAUAACGAACGAGACCUUAACCUGCUAAAUAGCCAGGCCGGCUUUGGCUGGUCGCGGGCUUCUUAGAGGGACUGUCGGCGUCUAGCCGACGGAAGUUUGAGGCA
RNAcentral lists this ribosomal RNA (270 nucleotides) under uncultured eukaryote. RNAcentral's name for it is "partial small subunit ribosomal RNA". It matches the Rfam family "Eukaryotic small subunit ribosomal RNA", at positions 1161 to 1452 of the family's 1831-position model. The record is from RNAcentral.